This 1646-nucleotide ribosomal RNA is filed under the name metagenome. RNAcentral's name for it is "bacterial LSU rRNA". It matches the Rfam family "Bacterial large subunit ribosomal RNA", at positions 1281 to 2907 of the family's 2925-position model. The record is from RNAcentral.
CUCAGAAGUGCGAAUGCUGACAUGAGUAACGACAAUGGGUGUGAAAAACACCCACGCCGAAAGACCAAGGGUUCCUGCGCAACGUUAAUCGACGCAGGGUUAGUCGGUUCCUAAGGCGAGGCUGAAAAGCGUAGUCGAUGGGAAACAGGUUAAUAUUCCUGUACUUCUGGUUACUGCGAUGGAGGGACGGAGAAGGCUAGGCCAGCUUGGCGUUGGUUGUCCAAGUUUAAGGUGGUAGGCUGAAAUCUUAGGUAAAUCCGGGGUUUCAAGGCCGAGAGCUGAUGACGAGUCGUCUUUUAGAUGACGAAGUGGUUGAUGCCAUGCUUCCAAGAAAAGCUUCUAAGCUUCAGGUAACCAGGAACCGUACCCCAAACCGACACAGGUGGUCGGGUAGAGAAUACCAAGGCGCUUGAGAGAACUCGGGUGAAGGAACUAGGCAAAAUGGCACCGUAACUUCGGGAGAAGGUGCGCCGGCUAGGGUGAAGGAUUUACUCCGUAAGCUCUGGCUGGUCGAAGAUACCAGGCCGCUGCGACUGUUUAUUAAAAACACAGCACUCUGCAAACACGAAAGUGGACGUAUAGGGUGUGACGCCUGCCCGGUGCCGGAAGGUUAAUUGAUGGGGUUAGCGCAAGCGAAGCUCUUGAUCGAAGCCCCGGUAAACGGCGGCCGUAACAAUAACGGUCCUAAGGUAGCGAAAUUCCUUGUCGGGUAAGUUCCGACCUGCACGAAUGGCGUAACGAUGGCGGCGCUGUCUCCACCCGAGACUCAGUGAAAUUGAAAUCGCUGUGAAGAUGCAGUGUAUCCGCGGCUAGACGGAAAGACCCCGUGAACCUUUACUGUAGCUUUGCACUGGACUUUGAGCCUGCUUGUGUAGGAUAGGUGGGAGGCUUUGAAGCGUGGACGCCAGUUCGCGUGGAGCCAUCCUUGAAAUACCACCCUGGCAUGCUUGAGGUUCUAACUCUGGUCCGUAAUCCGGAUCGAGGACAGUGUAUGGUGGGCAGUUUGACUGGGGCGGUCUCCUCCUAAAGAGUAACGGAGGAGUACGAAGGUGCGCUCAGACCGGUCGGAAAUCGGUCGCAGAGUAUAAAGGCAAAAGCGCGCUUGACUGCGAGACAGACACGUCGAGCAGGUACGAAAGUAGGUCUUAGUGAUCCGGUGGUUCUGUAUGGAAGGGCCAUCGCUCAACGGAUAAAAGGUACUCCGGGGAUAACAGGCUGAUACCGCCCAAGAGUUCAUAUCGACGGCGGUGUUUGGCACCUCGAUGUCGGCUCAUCACAUCCUGGGGCUGAAGCCGGUCCCAAGGGUAUGGCUGUUCGCCAUUUAAAGUGGUACGCGAGCUGGGUUUAGAACGUCGUGAGACAGUUCGGUCCCUAUCUGCCGUGGACGUUUGAGAUUUGAGAGGGGCUGCUCCUAGUACGAGAGGACCGGAGUGGACGAACCUCUGGUGUUCCGGUUGUCACGCCAGUGGCAUUGCCGGGUAGCUAUGUUCGGAAAAGAUAACCGCUGAAAGCAUCUAAGCGGGAAACUUGCCUCAAGAUGAGAUCUCACUGGGAACUUGAUUCCCCUGAAGGGCCGUCGAAGACUACGACGUUGAUAGGCUGGGUGUGUAAGCGUUGUGAGGCGUUGAGCUAACCAGUACUAAUUG